GCUGGUUUGGCUCAGUGGAUAGAGCGUUGGCCUGCGGACUGAAGGGUCCCAGGUUCGAUUCCAGGAAAGGGCA
Myotis brandtii (Brandt's bat) is the source of this 73-nucleotide non-coding RNA. Lineage: Eukaryota; Metazoa; Chordata; Mammalia; Chiroptera; Vespertilionidae. The record is from Rfam.